AAUGUUAUGCCAGAAAAAUUGGGUUAUCUUGAUGGGAUAAAAUAUGAGGUUGUAUCUUUAACAUUU
Molecule: transfer RNA, 66 nt
Filed under: Dosinia troscheli
Lineage: Eukaryota; Metazoa; Mollusca; Bivalvia; Venerida; Veneridae
Description: tRNA-Ile
Source: RNAcentral